Molecule: small nuclear RNA, 107 nt
Organism: Neogale vison (American mink)
Lineage: Eukaryota; Metazoa; Chordata; Mammalia; Carnivora; Mustelidae
Source: Ensembl
AUGCUCAUUUGGGCAGCACAUAUACUAAAAUUGGAAUGAUACCAAAAAGAUUAGCAUGGCCCCUGUACAAGGAUGACAUGCAAACUCAUGAAGUAUUCCAUAUUUUA